UGAGGAAUAUUGGUCAAUGGGCGAGAGCCUGAACCAGCCAAGUGGCGUGCAGGAUGACGGCCCUAUGGGUUGUAAACUGCUUUUGUAUGGGGAUAAAGUCAAUCACGUGUGAUUGUUUGCAGGUACCAUACGAAUAAGGACCGGCUAAUUCCGUGCCAGCAGCCGCGGUAAUACGGAAGGUCCGGGCGUUAUCCGGAUUUAUUGGGUUUAAAGGGAGCGUAGGCUGGAGAUUAAGUGUGUUGUGAAAUGUAGACGCUCAACGUCUAACUUGCAGCGCAUACUGGUUUCCUUGAGUACGCACAACGUUGGCGGAAUUCGUCGUGUAGCGGUGAAAUGCUUAGAUAUGACGAAGAACUCCGAUUGCGAAGGCAGCUGACGGGAGCGCAACUGACGCUGAAGCUCGAAGGUGCGGGUAUCGAACAGGAUUAGAUACCCUGGUAGUCCGCACAGUAAACGAUGGAUGCCCGCUGUUGGUACCUGGUAUCAGCGGCUAAGCGAAAGCAUUAAGCAUCCCACCUGGGGAGUACGCCGGCAACGGU
Molecule: ribosomal RNA, 539 nt
Filed under: uncultured bacterium
Lineage: Bacteria
Description: bacterial SSU rRNA
Rfam family: Bacterial small subunit ribosomal RNA
Source: RNAcentral